Molecule: transfer RNA, 73 nt
Filed under: Bifidobacteriaceae bacterium
Lineage: Bacteria; Bacillati; Actinomycetota; Actinomycetes; Bifidobacteriales; Bifidobacteriaceae
Description: tRNA-Leu
Rfam family: tRNA
About the family: Transfer RNA (tRNA) molecules are approximately 80 nucleotides in length. Their secondary structure includes four short double-helical elements and three loops (D, anti-codon, and T loops). Further hydrogen bonds mediate the characteristic L-shaped molecular structure. tRNAs have two regions of fundamental functional importance: the anti-codon, which is responsible for specific mRNA codon recognition, and the 3' end, to which the tRNAs corresponding amino acid is attached (by aminoacyl-tRNA synthetases). tRNAs cope with the degeneracy of the genetic code in two manners: having more than one tRNA (with a specific anti-codon) for a particular amino acid; and 'wobble' base-pairing, i.e. permitting non-standard base-pairing at the 3rd anti-codon position.
Source: RNAcentral
GCUCCCGUAGCCCAAUGGCAGAGGCAACCGGCUUAAAACCGGUCCAGUGUGGGUUCGAGUCCCACCGGGAGCA